CACAUGGAUACAGGGAGGGGAGCAUCACACACCAAGAGCAUUAGGACAAAAAUACCGAAUGCAUGUGGGGCUUUAAACUAGAUGAUGGGUUGAUAGGUGCAGCAAACCACCAUGGCACAUGUGUACCUACGUAACAAACCUGCACACU
Long non-coding RNA from Sapajus apella (tufted capuchin), 148 nucleotides. RefSeq lists it as uncharacterized. NCBI's taxonomy places the organism in Eukaryota, Metazoa, Chordata, Mammalia, Primates, Cebidae. The record is from RefSeq and is a predicted model, not a curated record. The transcript is spliced from 2 exons.